This 326-nucleotide ribosomal RNA is filed under the name uncultured eukaryote. RNAcentral's name for it is "partial 18S ribosomal RNA". It matches the Rfam family "Eukaryotic small subunit ribosomal RNA", at positions 1470 to 1796 of the family's 1831-position model. The record is from RNAcentral.
CCCUUAGAUGUUCUGGGCCGCACGCGCGCUACACUGAUGCAUUCAACGAGCCUAGCCUUGACCGAGAGGUCCGGGUAAUCUUUGAAACUGCGUCGUGAUGGGGCUAGAUUAUUGCAAUUAUUAAUCUUCAACGAGGAAUGCCUAGUAAGCGUGAUUCAUCAAAUCGCGUUGAUUACGUCCCUGCCCUUUGUACACACCGCCCGUCGCUCCUACCGAUUGAGUGUGUUGGUGAGGAGUUCGGAUUGGCUCUUAGUGGUGGUUCGCCACCACCUAGAGCUGAGAAGUUCUCCAAACCGCCCCACUUAGAGGAAGGAGAAGUCGUAACA